AUGCGAGUUUUUGUAGUAAUACAAGGCAUACGGCUCAGUAACACGUAGUCAACCUACCCUACGGAUGAGGAUAAUCUCGGGAAACUGAGCAUAAUACUCGAUAGACCAUAAUGCCUGGAAUGGUUUAUGGUUGAAAUGAUUCGUUCGCCAUAGGAUGGGACUGCGGCCUAUCAGCUUGUUGGUGAGGUAAUGGCCCACCAAGGCGAUUACAGGUACGGGCUCUGAGAGGAGAAGCCCGGAGAUGGGUACCGAGACACGGACCCAGGCCCUAUGGGGCGCAGCAGGCGAGAAAACUUUGCAAUGUGCGAAAGCACGACAAGGUUAGUCCGAGUGAUUUCUGCUAAAGAGAUCUUUUGCAAGUUCUAAAACCACUAGUGAAUAAGGGGUGGGCAAGUUCUGGUGUCAGCCGCCGCGGUAAAACCAGCACCUCAAGUGGUCAGGAGGAUUAUUGGGCCUAAAGCAUCCGUAGCCGGCUUUGUUAGUUUUCGGUUAAAUCCAUACGCUUAACGUAUGGGCUGCCGAAAAUACUGCACAGCUAGGGAGUGGGAGAGGUAGACGGUACUCGGUAGGAAGGGGUAAAAUCCUUUGAUCUAUCGAUGACCACCUGUGGCGAAGGCGGUCUACCAGAACACGUUCGACGGUGAGGGAUGAAAGCUGGGGGAGCAAACCGGAUUAGAUACCCGGGUAGUCCCAGCUGUAAACGAUGCAGACUCGAUGAUGCAUUGGCAUAUAGCCAGUGCAGUGUCGCAGGGAAGCCGUUAAGUCUGCCGCCUGGGAAGUACGUACGCAAGUAUGAAACUUAAAGGAAUUGGCGGGGGAGCACCACAAGGGGUGAAGCCUGCGGUUCAAUUGGAUUCAACGCCGGA
Molecule: ribosomal RNA, 866 nt
Filed under: uncultured archaeon
Lineage: Archaea
Description: bacterial SSU rRNA
Rfam family: Archaeal small subunit ribosomal RNA
Source: RNAcentral